RNAcentral lists this long non-coding RNA (1377 nucleotides) under Anolis carolinensis (green anole). RNAcentral's name for it is "lncRNA (ENSACAG00000044718.1)". The record is from RNAcentral. Lineage: Eukaryota; Metazoa; Chordata; Lepidosauria; Squamata; Anolidae.
CUACCUGUCUAUCUGUCUACCUAUCUGCCCACCUAUCUGCCUAUCUGUCUACCUGUAUCUGUCUGCCUGACUGUCUACCUAUCUGACUACCUAUCUGCCUAUCUAUCUGUCUACCUAUCUGCCUACCUAUCUGCCUACCUGUCUGUCUACCUGUCUACCUGCCUACCUAUCUGUCUACCUGUCUAUCUGCCUACCUAUCUGCCUACCUGUCUGCCUAUCUGUCUACCUGUAUCUGCCUACCUGUCUGUCUACCUGUCUACCUAUCUGUCUACCUGUCUAUCUGCCUACCUGUCUGUCUAUCUGUCUACCUGUAUCUGUCUGCCUGACUGUCUACCUAUCUGCCUACCUGUCUGUCUACCUGUCUACCUGCCUACCUAUCUGUCUACCUGUCUAUCUGCCUACCUGUCUGCCUAUCUGUCUACCUGUAUCUGUCUGCCUACCUGUCUACCUAUCUGCCUACCUGUCUGUCUACCUGCCUACCUAUCUACCUACCUAUCUGCCUACCUAUCUGCCUAUCUGUCUACCUGUAUCUGUCUGCCUGACUGCCUACCUAUCUGCCUACCUGUCUACCUGCCUACCUAUCUGCCUAUCUGUCUAUUUGCCUACCUAUCUGCCUAUCUGUUUACCUGUAUCUGUCUGCCUGACUGUCUACCUGUAUCUGUCUGCCUGACUGUCUACCUAUCUGACUACCUACUUGUCUGUCUACCUAUCUGCCUACCUAUCUGCCCGCCUAUUUGCCUACGUGUCUGUCUACCUGUCUAUUUGUCUGCCUGCCUACCUGACUACCUACCUGUCUGUCUACCUAUCUGCCUUCCUGUCUGUCUACCUAUCUGUCUGUCUGCCUACCUAUCUCCCUACCUGACUACCUGUCUGUCUACCUGUCUAUUUGCUGACUUAUCUGCCUACCUAUCUGCCUACUUGCCUACUUGUCUAACUGUCUACCAAUCCCUCCAUCCCUUCACCAAUGCAUUUCUUUCACUUUCUCUCUACCUCUUCAUCUGUGUUUCUAUCUAUCUAUCUAUCUAUCUAUCUAUCUAUCUAUCUAUUCAACUGUGUAUCUAUCUAUCUAUCUAUCUAUUCAACUGUGUAUCUAUCUAUCUAUCUAUCUAUCUAUUCAACUGUGUAUCUAUCUAUCUAUCUAUCUAUCUAUCUAGUAUCUAUCUAUCUAUCUAUCUAUCUAUCUAUCUAUCUAUCUAUCCAUCCAUCCAUCUAUCUAUUCAACUGUGUAUCCAUCUACGAAUCCAUCUAUCAACCCAUCCCUCCAUCCAUCCACCAAUACAUUUCCUUCUUUCUAGUGUUAUUCGCCCCCCUCUUUGGUUGAACGGGACGUGGAGUCUUGGGCAGGAACGUGGGUUGCGAAUAGGACGUCCCUCCUGA